Molecule: ribosomal RNA, 459 nt
Filed under: uncultured bacterium
Lineage: Bacteria
Description: partial 16S ribosomal RNA
Rfam family: Bacterial small subunit ribosomal RNA
Source: RNAcentral
CCUACGGGUGGCAGCAGUGAGGAAUAUUGGUCAAUGGGCGGAAGCCUGAACCAGCCAAGUAGCGUGCGGGAUGAAGGCCCUACGGGUCGUAAACCGCUUUUGCACGGGGAUAACACCCUCCACUUGUGGAGGUCUGCAGGUACCGUGCGAAUAAGGGCCGGCUAAUUCCGUGCCAGCAGCCGCGGUAAUACGGAAGGCCCGAGCGUUAUCCGGAUUGAUUGGGCGUAAAGGGAGCGUAGGCGGGCGUUCAAGUCAGCUGUAAAAUCGCGCGGCUCAACCGCGCCCCGCAGUUGACACUGGACGCCUUGAGUUCACCACAGGCAGGCGGACUUCGUGUUGUAGCGGUGACCUGCAUAGCUAUCACGCGGAACCCCGAUUGCGCAGGCAGCCUGCCGGGGUGCGCCUGACGCUGAGGCUCGAAUGUGCGGGUAUCAAACAGGAUUAGAUACCCCAGUAGUC